GUGUCAGCAGCCGCGGUAAGACAGAGGCCCCGAGCGUUAAUCGGAAUUACUGGGCGUAAAGCGUGCGCAGGCGGUUCGUUAAGUUCGUUGUGAAAGCCCCGGGCUCAACCUGGGAACUGCAAUGGAAACUGGCGGGCUUGAAUGCGGCAGAGGGGGGUGGAAUUCCGCGUGUAGCAGUGAAAUGCGUAGAUAUGACACAGAACACCAAUUGCGAAGGCAGCUCGCUAAACCAUAACUGACGCUGAUGCACGAAAGCGUGGGGAGCAAACAGGAUUAGAUACCCUGGUAGUCCACGCCCUAAACGAUGAUAACUCGUUGUUGGCGAUACACAGUCAGCGACUAAGCGAAAGCAUUAAGUUAUCCACCUGGGGAGUACGACCGCAAGGUUGAA
Molecule: ribosomal RNA, 391 nt
Filed under: uncultured bacterium
Lineage: Bacteria
Description: bacterial SSU rRNA
Rfam family: Bacterial small subunit ribosomal RNA
Source: RNAcentral